This 21-nucleotide microRNA is filed under the name Homo sapiens (human). RNAcentral describes it as "hsa-miR-2909". Lineage: Eukaryota; Metazoa; Chordata; Mammalia; Primates; Hominidae. The record is from miRBase by way of RNAcentral.
GUUAGGGCCAACAUCUCUUGG